This 685-nucleotide long non-coding RNA is filed under the name Homo sapiens (human). RNAcentral describes it as "non-protein coding lnc-DALRD3-3:1". Lineage: Eukaryota; Metazoa; Chordata; Mammalia; Primates; Hominidae. The record is from RNAcentral.
UUUGUCAUGUAUAAUUGUGCCCGUCUUGCCACACUCUUUGAGAGUUACAAGUGUAGUAUGGAACAAGGUCUGUACCCCACUUUUCCUCCUGUGAGCAGUCUGGACUUCUCACUGCUACAUGAUGAGGUGAGUGUCCCUCCUGGUAGCUGGCACAAGGAGGCCUGGACUUCCCCUCCCAGCACCUUUCUCCCCAACAGGGUGAGUGGUUGUUGCUCUUCAACAGUAUCCUCCCCUUUCCGGAUCUGCUGAGCCGGACAGCAGUGCUGGACUGCACAGCCCCGGGGCUCCACAUUGCUGUACGCACAGAGAUGGUGAGGCAUAGACAACCAGGACACUCUACACUCUAUUCUUUAUUCUGGCCUGGGGCACAAGAGCAAAGAGAUGGGCCAGUGACUCAGUCUCUGUCUCUAGAUAUGCAAGUUCCUGGUACAGCUCAGCAUGGAUUUCAGCUCCUACUACAACCGGGAGCCUCGACCACACCUCUUUGGUCAGAUGUUCGUCCGCCUGCAGCUUCUGAGAGCUGUGCGUGAGGUGCUCCAUACUGGCCUGGCUAUGCUGGGUCUCCCUCCACUGAGCCACAUUUAAGGCCACAGAGGCUCCAAUACCUGGGAAUGUUCACAAAGUCAUCAACUGGAAAAAAAGCAAAAACCCACGGCCAAAAUAAAUUGGUACUGUUUGUUACAAA